RNAcentral lists this ribosomal RNA (221 nucleotides) under uncultured bacterium. RNAcentral's name for it is "partial 16S ribosomal RNA". It matches the Rfam family "Bacterial small subunit ribosomal RNA", at positions 129 to 334 of the family's 1533-position model. The record is from RNAcentral.
CCUCCGAAUUGGGGAUAACAUUGCGAAAGCGAUGCUAAUACCGAAUGACAUCUCAAUAACUCCGGUCUUUGAGAUCAAAGGUGGCCUCUCCAUGGAAGCUACUGUUUGGAGAUGAGCCCGCGUACCAUUAGCUUGUUGGUAGGGUAAUGGCCUACCAAGGCGACGAUGGUUAGCUGGUCUGAGAGGAUGAUCAGCCACACUGGAACUGACACACGGUCCAG